GGUGCUUCUAACCAGGGAAAGGUAUAAGCAUGCCCCGUAAGGGGUUGUAGCAGGCCUAGGGGGCUGGAGAGGGCUUGUAGGCCCACUAAACGUAAGAUGAAUAGGUGUCCUCUGUGCCGACAGGAGUAGAGUGGGGCAGGUACCCAGACUACAGAUUCUGCCAGCCUUCCACCUCAGGGGUUCCCAGCCACCUAGACACUGGAUGAUUCAGUCAAAGACAGAAAUGUGAUUUGGGUCAAGUUCUUCAGUUGCGCCUAAGGAAAAGCUGGAGACCCGACCAGGAGGGCAGAAGCCACAUUAUCAUAUCAUCAGAUUCAGAAUGGCCUCAUGUCUGAGUCAUGCUGUUCCGUUGCCUAAGAGCACCUCCCACCACCCCUAAAUGUGCAGGGGCAGUUCCUUACCUUCUGCCAGCUAGAUAAUCUAGUUCCGGGAUUCUCCUAUUCCUGCUCAGCGAGCUCCUACUCAGUCAUCAAAACCCCAGGCCAAACUAGAGAAAUUGAAGCAGCUCCCCCCAUCCUCCUCCAUUACCAAGUUGCAUAUCUGUAGACCUUUCUUCCUUCUCUAGACCUUAGCAGGACAAUGGGGAUUUGGGCUUGCUUAUGGCCAUAGUUCCAAUGCUGAACAAAUGAUAAUUAACCAAAUGGCCCAGCAACUCAAGGGCAGUCUAUUCAGUGUGACUGACAGCCUGGUGGUAUUUCCUCAUUCCUCUCCUGUAAACCAGGGGUCGGCUUCUGCUCAGGGGACUGGGCAGUCCUGUUUGGCAAGGGUAGCCUAGAUUUUGAUGACCAGUCAUAAACAGAUUGGAAUUUAGUCCCGGUCAUUAGCAAGGACCCCUGGCUCUAUUAGAUGCAGGUCUCUCAGCCCUUCCCAAGCCACCUGACUUCCCUUGUCUCCCACGCUGACUGGAUUAGAGGUCUUCAGGGUGGGGUAGAGUGGGGAGGAAAUUAAGGUCAAGGAAUUCAGUGCUAGUAGCUCCUGGCUAUCCUAGGCCCUGUGGCUCGGCCCCAGGGAAGGUACAUGAGUGCAGUGAACCCUCAGGCAAUGGAUGCCCCCCCCUUCCUUCUGCAGGAGCUGGGCGAGAACACAGCAAAGCACACCCAAACCAGGGAAGCAACUGUAACUGUCCUUACUUCCUUAUAGCACGGAGCUCUCCCCACUCCCCAGCUCCUCUGUCACUAACUAUUGCUUUCUCCUUCUCCUUCUCCUUCUCCUUCUCCUUCUUCUUCUUCUUCAUUUUUAAAGUCUUAUUUUUAUUUAUGUAUAUGUGUGGGUAUAUGCCUAUGUGUAGGUAUGUGCACAUAAGUACAGGUGCCUGUAGAGGUCAAAAGGUAUUAGAUCCCCUGGAGCUAGAGUUACAGUACAGGCAAUAAAGAGCCAUUGUCUCACGUGGCUGCUAAGAACACUAUUCUCUAAAAGAUUCUUUAACUGCUCAGCCAUCUCUCAAACCCCGCAUCUUCCUCUCUCUCUCUCUCUCUCUCUCUCUCUCUCUCUCUCUCUCUCUCUCUCUUGAAAGUCUUAUGUAUCUUGGACUGGCCUCAAACUCACUAUGGAGCGUGAUAACCUUGAAUUUAUAGCCCUCUGCCUCCAUCUUUCCAAGUGCUGAGAUUACAGAUGUGUGUCACCAAACCUGGUGGUGCUAACAAUCAAACCUAGGGCCUUGUGCGCACUAGGCAAGCAUUCUGUUGGAUGAGCUUCAGUCUCCUAGUGCUAGGAUGACAGUCAGGCCCUGGACAGCAACUGCAUGAAGCUGAUAGUUUUGUCCUUUAAGAGGAUGACAGCAGGGUUGAAUGUGGUAGUGGAUAUCUUGAUCCCAGCACUCCUGGAGGCAGAGGCAGGCAGAUCUCUGAGUUUGAAGCCAGCCUGGUCAACACAGUGAGUUCUAGGACAGUCUGGACUACAGAGAUCUUGUCUCAAAAAACAGGGGGGGAGGGGAGGAGGAGGGAGGGAGGACAAUGUGGACAGAGGUCUGGUUUCUCCCAGCUCACAACUGUAGAGGGCUUCCCAUUCUAGACUAUUCCACUUGUAACCUCAUUUGGUCCCUUCACAAAGCUUCAAAGGAUACUCUUUCUUCAAAGGAUACUCUUUUUUCUACUUGAUCGAGAAGAAAUUGGAGCCACAGUGACUUGUCCAAGGUCAUCAGCACAGAGGAAAUUUGAACCUGUUCCAUUCGUCACAUUUCCCCCUAAAAUCUAACAAUACUUUCCGAUCUUCUCUGGGAGCAUUUGCCUAGGGAGGAGGCACACAAGCCAGUAGUGAUAAAAUUAAAAUUGUAAAUGGUGCAAGAAGGGGACAGGUACUCAUAAGCUCUGAGGGAGGGCGAGAGCGCUCAAAAGCUUGACUCUCAACCCCACUCCCCUUCUCCCAGUCAGCUGUUUUAGCUAAGCCCCUUCCCAUCUGCUCUGACUUCCAGGUGAUCCCACACACAGCCUUGUCCUCCUUAGGAAGUUGCCAGCCAGUUCUACCUGAACCUCCUGCCCAAGGCUGACAGACAGAAAGGAUGAGGGACAGAGGAAUGACAUUGGAGAGAUCACAGGACAGAAGAGAUGAGAGGUCAUAGAGUGGGGCUGGCAGACGAGUCUGGGCUCUAGAUGGUGCAGCGGUUAAGAGCCUAGGCCUCUAGGCCGGAAGCCUUGUGCUCCAAUUCUAGUCUGGGCUUGAGCUUGGUUGAUAUGAUCCCCUAGAAGAAUGGGGGAUGGGGGAGCUGGAGAGAUGGCUUAGGGGUUAAGAGCACUGGCUACUUACUCUUCCAGAGGACCACAGUUCAAUUCCUAACACCUAUGUAAUGGCUUACAACUCUUUCUAACUCCAGUUCCAAGGGAUCUGACACCUCCACAGGCACCAACCGCGCAUGCUAUGGGUGUUUCUCAGGCUGUGAGGUGUUCUCACUGAGGACCGCCGAGGCUAGCAGCCCCUGUAAGAGGCAACCAACAUGAGGGGUCAGCACAUACAUUCUUUCCCUUUUCCUCAAAGGUAGUGUUUCCCUCAGACAACAACCAGCUUCCUGCCUUUAGUUAGUCAGAGGAACGGAGGCAUGGUACUCACAGAGGCUAGCAAGGAGAGAGGGAUCAGCACCCUCCAGGGAUCACGGGGGGGGGGGGGGGGGUGAUCACUCCAGGGUAGGAGUUGGAAACCACACUAGAAGGCCUGAGGGAACAAAGACAAGAAAGAUCCCACCCAAUUCCUCCGGACAACGACCUUCCAGACAGGGUCGCUCUUUCAGGGUGGCAACCCGAAAGGUACACCCACUGUAAUUAUCUAGAAUGGUCCCAUCUUUUUUUUUUCCUCUAGGAUUCACUACCACCACCGUGCUGCGGAAGCUUGUUCCUCCUGCCAGCUUGUCCUAGCCUCAAGGGGACUCUAAGCCUCCACCCUCCCCUCUCCUUCCUGGACACGUGGUUUUAUUUUUAACCUGAGUUUACCGGCAGGAUCUGGAAAAGCCAGUUUGAGGCAGCUCCUAAUCUUUCUGCUUCCCUCCCCCACCUGAAGAGUACGUAGCUGGACCGUUCUGGGAGAGGCAGGGGGGCCUGGCCAGCAGGUCUGGGUAAAGGGCAGCCUGUUUGGCCUUGCCAGUUAGAGGACUGAACACUUCUGCCCGGCUCUUCUCUGACGCGCACCCUCCUGCUGGCCCCGGCUGCUCUAGUGGGGUGGGGUGGAGUCAGCCGAACCUUCUGGGCUUUUCUGAUGUAACCUCUCCAGCAGAGGCUGAUUGGCCCAGGGCCUCGUGUAUCACAGGAAGUCUCUGGGCAGAGUGGCCCAAUGCCCUGGUAUUUCAGGCCAGCCUCUGGCACUAGAGACAAGGCAGGCAAGGGCAGGCUACCCAAAAGGCAGAGGAUACACAGACCUAUGGUGCUGGAAGAAGAGAGGCAUCAGAGCAUUUGAAUUUCCUUUUUUUUUUUGGUUCUUUUUUUCCGGAGCUGGGGACCGAACCCAGGGCCUUGCGCUUCCUAGGUAAGCGCUCUACCACUGAGCUAACUCCCCAACCCCUUUUUUUUAAUUGGAUGGUUUUUUUUUCUUUCUUUUUUCUUUUUUUAAAAAUUUCAUUUAUUUUAUGUCUGUAUGUCUGUAUGUAUGUAUGUAUAAAUACACUGUAGCUGUCUUCGGACACACCAGAAGAAGGCAUCGGAUCCCCGUUACAGAUGGUUGUGAGCCACCAUGUGGUUGCUGGGAUUUGAACUCAAGACCUCUGGAAGAGCAGUCAGUGCUCCUAACCGCUGAGCCAUCUCUCCAGCCUUUUUUUUUUUUUUUCCCCCGGAGCUGGGGACCGAACCCAGGGCCUUGCGCUUGCUAGGCAAGCGCUCUACCACUGAGCUAAAUCCCCAACCCCUCUCCAGCCUUUUUUUUUUUUUUAAAUAGGCAAACUCUUAGUGCUUCAAAAAAUGUCGAGGAAGCACCCUCUUCCAUCCUGAGAGAUCAACGCCUGGAGGGCCAUCCCUGUGGUAUUUAAAGUUUAGGUGUUUCUGCUUUGAUUUUUGCCCUUGAAAGGAGGUGCAUCAAGACCUCUGGGCUAUCAGGAUGCUGAGAGUCUUAAUCCAUCUUGGAAAACUCAAGGCUAAUAAUGGGGGUGAGGACAAGAAGGAUAGAGGAGAGAGAAGCAUGUGGCCUGCCUUUAUCCCUUGGACUGGAGCUUUGGGGGAAGAGGAGUGCACUGAUCCCAUAUGGAACCUGGGGGUCCCUGAAAGCCUGUGGUCAGUGUUGGAUGACACAAGGGAUGGAUGGUACUGCGAUCCAGCAAGUGAGAAAAGGCCUUCUUCACCCUUUCUUCCUCCCCCUGCUCUACCAAUCUGAUCAUUGAUUUUCUCUGUUUGCUUGUUUGUUUGCUUUGAGACAGAGUCUCUCUAUGUAGCCCUGCCUGGAACUCACUGUGUAGAUCAGGCUGCCUCCUGAGUUCUGAGACUAAAGGUAUGUGCUGCUAUACCAGCCAUGUAUUAACUUCCUGCCUGCCUGCCUGCCUGCCUUCCUCCUCUUUUUCUUUUUGCUUUUGUUUUGAGAUGGAGUAAUAUAAUUUGGGCUGCCCUGGAACUAACAAGACCAGGCUGGCUUCAAUCUUAGAAAAAAAUCCACCUGCCUCUGCCGCCAGAGUCCUGGGAUUAAAAGUGUGCACCAUCACGCCAGCUUCUCUUUGUUAAUUUUUAUUUUAUGUGCAUGAGUAGUUUGCCUGCAAUCAUGUAUGUGUGCCACAUGCAUGCAGUGCCUGAAGAGACCAGAAGAGGGCGUCAGAGCCCCUGGAACUGGAGUUACAGACCACUGUGAACCACUAUACUUGGAGCUUGGAACCCAAACCCUGUCCUCUUGCUAGAGUAACAAGUACACUAAACCAUGAGUCAUCUCUCCAGCCUUCCCUAUUCCUGACCUCUUAUCCCUAUCCCUACACACACACAUACACACACACACACACACCCCACCCCAAACCAACAAACGAAAAGUCAUAGCUAAUCAUCAUUGUCAGCCACAGAUCCUAGACUGCAAUGAGUACCAACUUUACUUUUUUCUCCCGCCGUGUUGUAAGGAGGCAAUCUCGGCUCCAAAGGAAGACUCGACAGGCCUGAAGAGAUCUGUAGCUUGCUCAGAGCCAGAAUUCGAACUCAGACACCAACCAACACUUAUUUGUUGGAAGACGGCCCCUUGAAGUGUGUUGGAGGAAUGAGAGUGGGGGAGAGGAUUAGAGCGGAAGCAACUGUCUGGGCUGUGCACUCUCACUGUCUGCUGAGAGGGCCACCUCUGCCUUACUACCGGACUCCAGCCUUGUUCCAGGCCAUCAACCAGGGCAGGGCAGGAGGAGAUCCUGCGAAGAGGCCUCAGCAGCAGGUGGGACAGGAGUUGACAGAUUUGGAAGCCACAGGUCCUGACUAAGCUAGUUUCCAUCGACCUGGGCUUGACCUGAACCAUUCAGAACAAAGAAGGAAAUGGUGGAGAUUGCCUAAACAUCCCUCUUGCCCCGGAUUGCUAGAAGGCCGAAGCUGGAGGUGGGAGAAGCAGGUUCAGUCAUACUUCUGUCGGCACAGGAUGGGUGGAAUCUGAGGACAGGCGGGAGUCACAAGACUAGGGGCUGGUCCCUGGGGCUGACCUGGAGUGGAUAGUGUUGGCUUCCUGCCCCAGGGUGGUUUUGUCUCUCCCAGGUCUCUUUCCCAGAGCUGUCUGGGGGCCCAGCUGGGCAGAAGAGGCUUGGGACUGUCCUAUUAGGGGGCCUGGUGAAGAGAAGUACUGCUACCCCCUGCUGCUUUUCUGACUUCCUACCAACCCCCUUCCUCCUUCUACCUUGAAGAUGCUCCCAGCCACUGCCCUUUGUCACCCUGAAACUCUAUUUCCAGAACUCCACCCCAACCCCAACAGGAGUGAGUCUGUUGGCAACUCCCCAAGGAGCGAUCAGCUGCCGUCAGCUCUGAUCCAAGACUAGUAGUGCUCCAAGCUUAGACUCCAGGAAGACAAGAGGUUAGGGGUAGGGGAGCUCGUGGGAGGUAGUCACAUGGUAGUCUGGGCUGAGACCCAGGGGCAUUGAGUUAAUUCCUUCAGGUUCACAAGGCCAGCAUUCCACAGCCGCCUCUCCCAAGGCGCUGGCCAUCAGCACUUCAGGCACCAUCAGCCACCCAAACCUGUUCUCAGUUGUGGCCAGGCCUCCUGGGGCUGCUAGAGCUACAGGUGGUCCAGAGCCUGGGCCCUAGCAUGGGACUUCAAGUGCUCCUCACAACCAAAACACCUGGCUCCCUGGAAGAUGGGUGAGCUAGGCUGGGGAGCAGAACUAGGGGAGGGGGUCAGAAAGGAGUGAGGGUAGGCCUCGGGCGACAGGACCUACUAGGGAUGUUUUUCUGUCGAGAAUACUAGUCACGUCCAACCUCGAAGACGAGUCAUAAUAAUGGAGAGAUUACAUAUGACAAUGUUAUUCCACCACAGGUCUGAAGGUUACAUUAGAUUCUUUCUUGCCUGGUUUUCCUUUUGUUGUUCUUGACACAGGCUGUCACAUAACCCCUACUGGCUUCGAACUUUCUAUGGAACUGAGGCUGACCCUGAACUCCUGAUCCUCCUGCCUCCCAAGCGCUUAGGAUUCAAGCGUAUACUACCUCUCCUCGAUAGCCCUGUUGUAUAUUUUUAUUUUUAUUCAUUCAUUUGUUUAUAGUAUGUCUUUCCUGACUGUCAAUCUCAUCUAGUUCCUCGUGUAAGAAUCCUCAUAGUAAUAAUGACAGUUAACACUGAGGCAGAUAGACCCAAUUCACAAGCUAAUAAUCUUAGUUAAUAAAAUGUCAUACUUUU
Molecule: non-coding RNA, 7245 nt
Organism: Rattus norvegicus (Norway rat)
Lineage: Eukaryota; Metazoa; Chordata; Mammalia; Rodentia; Muridae
Source: RefSeq, a predicted model, not a curated record